Molecule: ribosomal RNA, 172 nt
Filed under: Cortinarius fulvescens
Lineage: Eukaryota; Fungi; Basidiomycota; Agaricomycetes; Agaricales; Cortinariaceae
Description: partial 28S ribosomal RNA
Rfam family: Eukaryotic large subunit ribosomal RNA
Source: RNAcentral
UGUGACCUCAAAUCAGGUAGGACUACCCGCUGAACUUAAGCAUAUCAAUAAGCGGAGGAAAAGAAACUAACAAGGAUUCCCCUAGUAACUGCGAGUGAAGCGGGAAAAGCUCAAAUUUAAAAUCUGGCAGCCUUUGGUUGUCCGAGUUGUAAUCUAGAGAAGUGUUAUCCGC